Molecule: non-coding RNA, 26 nt
Filed under: Mus musculus (house mouse)
Lineage: Eukaryota; Metazoa; Chordata; Mammalia; Rodentia; Muridae
Source: RNAcentral
UGGUGACACAAAGGAUGGAAAUGAAA